CCUAAGGCGAGGCCGAAAGGCGUAGUCGAUGGACAACAGGUAGAGAUUCCUGUACUUGUAUAUAUGUGAAGGAAUGACGGAGAGAGAAAGCUGAAGCCAGCGGCUGGAAGAGCUGGUGCAAGCGAGAUAGCGGGAUGGCAGGCAAAUCCGCCAUCCACAACGCGAAGACGUGAUGCGAACGGAAAGCUACGGCGAGUACGGAAGUCAGUGGACGAGCUUCCAAGAAAAGUUUCUAACAUAAGUAUAUGCAACCCGUACCGAAAAUGGACACACAUGGGUGAGGAGAGAAUCCUAAGGUGAGCGAGAGAACUAUAGCUAAGGAACUCUGCAAAAUGACUCCGUAACUUAGGGAGAAGGAGUGCUCAUAGAGAUAUGAGCCGCAGUGAAACGGCCCAAGCGACUGUUUACCAAAAACACAGCUCUCUGCUAAGCCGCAAGGCGAAGUAUAGGGGGUGACGCCUGCCCGGUGCUGGAAGGUUAAGGGGAGGGGUUAACGCAAGUGAAGCCCUGAACUGAAGCCCCAGUAAACGGCGGCCGUAACUAUAACGGUCCUAAGGUAGCGAAAUUCCUUGUCAGGUAAGUUCUGACCCGCACGAAAGGCGUAACGAUUUGGGCGCUGUCUCAGCUGUAGACUCGGUGAAGUCUUAGUACCUGUGAAGAUGCAGGUUACCCGCGACUAGACGGAAAGACCCCAUGGAGCUUCACUGCAGGUUGAUAUUGGGAUUUGAUGCAGCAUGUACAGGAUAGGUAGGAGGCAAAGAGAUGGAUACGCCAGUAUUCAAGGAGCCGCUGUUGGGAUACUACCCCUGUUGUAUUGGAUUUCUAACCGGACGACGUAGAGCCGUUGACGGGACAGUGUCAGUCGGGCAGUUUGACUGGGGCGGUCGCCUCCCAAAGAGUAACGGAGGCGCCCAAAGAUACCCUCAGCUUGGAUGGAAACCAAGCGCAGAGUGCAAAGGCAAAAGGGUGUUUGACUGCGAGACCCACAAGUCGAGCAGGGACGAAAGUCGGGCUUAGUGAUCCGGCGGUGCUGAAUGGAAAGGCCGUCGCUCAACGGAUAAAAGCUACCCUGGGGAUAACAGGCUGAUCUCCCCCAA
This 1097-nucleotide ribosomal RNA is filed under the name human gut metagenome. Its description in RNAcentral is "bacterial LSU rRNA". It matches the Rfam family "Bacterial large subunit ribosomal RNA", at positions 1390 to 2495 of the family's 2925-position model. The record is from RNAcentral.